GUGCUCGCUUCGGCAGCACAUGUACUAAAAUAGGAAUGAUACAGAGAAGAUUAGCAUGGCUCCUGCACAAGGAUGACACUGAAAUGCAUGAAGCAUUCCAUAUUUUU
Small nuclear RNA from Loxodonta africana (African savanna elephant), 107 nucleotides. NCBI's taxonomy places the organism in Eukaryota, Metazoa, Chordata, Mammalia, Proboscidea, Elephantidae. The record is from Ensembl.